UCGUUGACUGACUAUAGGGUU
This 21-nucleotide non-coding RNA is filed under the name Caenorhabditis elegans. Lineage: Eukaryota; Metazoa; Nematoda; Chromadorea; Rhabditida; Rhabditidae. The record is from RNAcentral.